Non-coding RNA from Hibiscus syriacus, 73 nucleotides. Lineage: Eukaryota; Viridiplantae; Streptophyta; Magnoliopsida; Malvales; Malvaceae. The record is from the annotation of a RefSeq genome assembly.
GCCCGCCUAGCUCAGUUGGUAGAGCUCAAGGCUCUUAACCUUGUGGUCGUGGGAUCAAGUCUCACGGUGAGCA